CGGGUCUAAACUUCAAAACCCGA
RNAcentral lists this non-coding RNA (23 nucleotides) under Arabidopsis thaliana (thale cress). The record is from RNAcentral. Lineage: Eukaryota; Viridiplantae; Streptophyta; Magnoliopsida; Brassicales; Brassicaceae.